CGCAAUGCCCGAAAGGGUGACGAAGCGACGCCGCGUGAGUGAGGAAGGCCUUCGGGUUGUAAAGCUCUGUCAGGAGUUAAGAAAUGUAGGUGUGCUAAUACCACAUUUAUUUGACAAAAGCUCCAAAGGAAGCCACGGCUAACUCUGUGCCAGCAGCCGCGGUAAUACAGAGGUGGCAAGCGUUGUUCGGAAUUAUUGGGCGUAAAGAGCACGUAGGUGGGUUUGUAAGUCAGAUGUGAAAGCCUUCUGUUCAACGGAAGAAUUGCAUCUGAAACUGCGAGUCUUGAGUGUAGGAGGGGAGAAUGGAACUUCUGGUGGAGCAGUGAAAUGCGUAGAUAUCAGAAGGAACGCCGGCGGCGAAAGCGAUUCUCUGGCCUAUUACUGACACUCAGUGUGCGAAAGCUAGGGGAGCAAACGGGAUUAGAUACCCCGGUAGUCCUAGCAAUCUCUAGAGGAAUACCGCGACUCGAG
This 471-nucleotide ribosomal RNA is filed under the name uncultured anaerobic ammonium-oxidizing bacterium. RNAcentral's name for it is "bacterial SSU rRNA". It matches the Rfam family "Bacterial small subunit ribosomal RNA", at positions 367 to 831 of the family's 1533-position model. The record is from RNAcentral.